Long non-coding RNA from Camelus dromedarius (Arabian camel), 203 nucleotides. RefSeq lists it as uncharacterized. The record is from RefSeq and is a predicted model, not a curated record. NCBI's taxonomy places the organism in Eukaryota, Metazoa, Chordata, Mammalia, Artiodactyla, Camelidae. The transcript is spliced from 3 exons.
GGAGGAUUGUUUAGCCAGACCUCACGGUACCUGUUUUCAUGUGUUGAGACUGGAAAGCCGGCUGGAGAGCCUCAGGACAGUCUGGUGGUGCUGAAGCGAGGGAGAUGGUGCUGAACACAGAGCCUGCGAAAGCCGCCACCAGCCUGGCCCAGAGAGAACGUGACGGUUCAGAAGAUGAGAGAAAGCAGCACCUACAAGCUCGG